AGUCGAGGGGUAUAUAGCAAUAUAUGAGACCGGCGCACGGGUGCGUAACGCGUAUGCAACCUACCUUUUACAGGGGAAUAGCCCAGAGAAAUUUGGAUUAAUGCCCCAUGGUAUAUUAGAGUGGCAUCACUUUAUUAUUAAAGUUCCAACGGUAAAAGAUGGGCAUGCGUCCUAUUAGCUGGAUGGUAAGGUAACGGCUUACCAUGGCUACGAUAGGUAGGGGUCCUGAGAGGGAGAUCCCCCACACUGGUACUGAGACACGGACCAGACUCCUACGGGAGGCAGCAGUGAGGAAUAUUGGACAAUGGGCGCAAGCCUGAUCCAGCCAUGCCGCGUGCAGGAAGAAGCAUCUAUGGUGUGUAAACUGCUUUUGUACGGGAAGAAACACCUCUACGUGUAGAGGCUUGACGGUACCGUAAGAAUAAGGAUCGGCUAACUCCGUGCCAGCAGCCGCGGUAAUACGGAGGAUCCAAGCGUUAUCCGGAAUCAUUGGGUUUAAAGGGUCCGUAGGCGGUUUGGUAAGUCAGUGGUGAAAGCCCUUCGCUCAACGGAGGAACGGCCAUUGAUACUGCCAGACUUGAAUUACUGGGAAGUAACUAGAAUAUGUAGUGUAGCGGUGAAAUGCUUAGAUAUUACAUGGAAUACCAAUUGCGAAGGCAGGUUACUACCGGUGGAUUGACGCUGAUG
This 687-nucleotide ribosomal RNA is filed under the name uncultured Bacteroidota bacterium. Its description in RNAcentral is "bacterial SSU rRNA". It matches the Rfam family "Bacterial small subunit ribosomal RNA", at positions 60 to 751 of the family's 1533-position model. The record is from RNAcentral. Lineage: Bacteria; Pseudomonadati; Bacteroidota.